UCUUUUGCACAAGUAAAAUAAUGAUAAUAAAGUUAAUAAAAAUAAUAAUAAUAAUAAUAAUAAUAAUAAUAAUAAUAAUAAUAAUAAUAAUAAUAGUUUUGAACACAAUAGGCCAUUAGCUAUUUAUUGAUAAAUUUGGAGAAAGGGCAUAAUUUAUCUAUCAUGCCACAUAUAUGGUUCUUGAUUCCGCGUAUGGGAAUGGUUCUCCGAGUAUUGAGAUUGUAAUUUGGUCCAUUUAUGUCUUCGAGAUUUAGUGUCUUCGAGAUUUCAGGAUUUAAAAUUGAAGAUUUUCUAACCGAUAUUCUUGACUUAUAUUUAGGUACAAAGUUAAAAUCAGCAAGCCCUUGUGGAACAAGUAUAAGAGCAGCAAAGAACAACAUUGGUAACAAAAGGGAAACCAUUUUUGUCACUCACUAUAAUUAUAUUAAUCUGACUUAAAAAAUUAAUAUCUGUAGCUGCAAGCAAAAUAUAUCCAAUUUAAUCAUGAAAACAAAUAAUUUAUUAUUUAAAUUUACCACUUUAAUGAUU
This 528-nucleotide long non-coding RNA is filed under the name Cicer arietinum (chickpea). RNAcentral describes it as "long non-coding RNA (CARI_LNC002677)". The record is from RNAcentral. Lineage: Eukaryota; Viridiplantae; Streptophyta; Magnoliopsida; Fabales; Fabaceae.